CGAUCUCUUCCUCUUCGUAUAAAUACGCACAAUCCUAUUAUUUCCUUAUUGAUAUUGAUGUGAUUCUAUGAAGAUAAACUUGCAAGAGUCAAAGUUAUUUAAUAAUCUUUACAAUUUUAAAGAUUUGUCUCUUAAAAUCUUUUGCGUGCUGACUAGGAAAUCAUAUUUUUGUGAUAUAAAAAACAAGAAUUGUAUAUGUUAGGUAGGACCGCCCCUGACGAACAAGUAGGCGGUUAGUAUUGGCAACCAGGACUGGUCGCCGAUAACUCGACUCCUUAACGAGUGGUAUCGUGGACCAGGACUAGAGGACGCGAUGGCGGCUUGCGAGGUUAUAAAAGAUUUUUCUACGUGGGUAACUAAUAUCUUCAGCUCGCAAAUCAUGUUUUUAUUAUCAAUAAAAGAUACAUAAAGGCAAUCGAGCUUAACAUAUAUUCAACACUUAAAAAAUUAAAUAUAUAAAAACAUUAAUAAUACAGUCGACACUGAGCAUCAGUACAUUACAUCUAUAUUAAAAUUUUACACUUAACAAUGUAAAUGUAAUAUAACAAUACGUGUUACAUUUGUAUAUUCCUGAAUGUGAAAUUUUAACACAAAUCUAAUGUAACUGAUGUAUUAACUGGAAAAAUGAUGAUUUCAUCACGACUUUUAUCUAUGAGACAUUUAUCUCUCCGAAAAUGUUAUAUCUCUUGCAAUUCCAUCACAUUAAAUCAGAAUAAUUUAAAAUGUCUUUAAAAGGUAUGUAUUGAAAAAUGAUUAUACAUUUUAAAGUCGUACUUAAGACAAUUCAAGAUCGUCGUAAGAUUUAAUCCAGUCAGUGAAAUGAUUAUAUAAAGUCUCGAGAUCAUUAGUUGAUCUUAAAUGAAAAAUCCGGGGGACUAUAUGAAUACCUAAAACUAUACCAAUUAGCAAUAUAUAUUUCAGAUCAAAGUAUCAAUACAUUAUUUAUAUAAAUGUGAUUAGUGAAUAGUGUACGAUAUGUAUUCGCAUGUAGUCGACCUAUCUCGUAAAGUGUAAAAGGAACGGCGAAGCUGAGAUUAGUGGCCGGUGAAAGUGAAUUCAAGCCGCAAAUAUCAAAUGAAGGCGAUAUGAGCGGCGUGAAUAAAAAUAUCGAACUCCCGUUAACUUUUGCCAGCUUUCUCGACGUUUAUUCAAAUCGAAUCGAGUUAUCCCCUCGAAAUGAAUCCGACACACUCGUACCAUCCUCGACGGUUUCCGUUCGAAAUCGAAAACUUUGAAAUCUUAAAGCCCAUUUUAAGCGGUUCAGAAUCAACGUCGGAUCUUAGGACAAAAUUUCUAUUUGCGAUUUUAUAUUGAUAAAACGCAUAAAGGCGAUCAAUUUUAAAAAAUGUUCAGUAAUUAAAAUAUAUACAUAUAUAAUUGCCAGUAUACAAAGAGUAUUUGAUUUUGAAAUAAUCUUAUUUUUUAAUAAUCUCCUUUUAGCUUAUUAUACAUUUUCCCAAAUGACAGUCCAACUUCUUUAAGCCUUCAAAAAAAGUACGAUUUCUCCAAUUCUACAAAAUAAGCAUUUGUUUCAGUGAUGAUUCUUAUUUGAUGUAAAUCUUUUUUUAGCGUGCCAUUUCUUCAUGUUUGAAAAAAGAAAAGUCAUAGAAGACCAAAUUCUGGAGAAUAGAGGGUGAAGAAGGAAACAGUUCAUAGCGCAAUUCGAUAAAUUUGGCCGAAAUUUACUUUUUACUAUUAUAGCAAAAAAAAAAA
This 1713-nucleotide long non-coding RNA is filed under the name Monomorium pharaonis (pharaoh ant). Its description in RNAcentral is "uncharacterized LOC114254977". The record is from RNAcentral. Lineage: Eukaryota; Metazoa; Arthropoda; Insecta; Hymenoptera; Formicidae.